AUUUCAAUUAAAACGGUCCAAAAUACCGAUAUUCCAUAUCCAACUUGGACUCAGAUCCAAAUCGAACCGGAUAAAAAAUAAAUAAUAUAUAAAUAAAAAAAUUAUCUAUUCAAAUUUCGGAUAUGAGUCUGGAUAUUUUAUACUCAUAUUCGAUUUGGAUUCAACCUGAAUGUGAUCUUUUAAUGGAUAUGGUCCAGAAGAAAUUCAGACUCGGACUCGGACUCGGACUCGGACCUAGAUCUCGAUCCGGUUUCGGUCCAGUAAAUACCUGAUAGUAAAUAAAAAAAAAAAUUUGAAGUUAAGAGAUCAAUUUCAAUAAGACUUAUAGAUGAAGAGUCGAUAUAUAUUUUUAUCGUAGUGAAAAUUCUAAUCGCGCUGUUUACUCUUUUUUUAAAAAGAAUUUUAUUCGACUCAGUGCAACUAAUUUGAACGCGGAUUUUUUAUAGCAAGAGGUUUAAGGUUUGUCCAUAAAAUGUUUAAUAAAAUUUAUAAAAAAAAUAUAUACAUACGGAUAUUCAUAUUCGAUCUAGACCCAACCCAUAUCCGAUCCAUACCAAGUCUUAAACAAAUAGUAUACGGAUAGUAGCCAGACCCGGAGAGGUCGAAGGCGAGACCCGGAUAGUAGCUAGACCAGGAUAGUAGCCAGACCUGAUCCAAAGUUAAAUGGAUAGGAUAUAUUUUUUAUUUCCUACCCAUUUUUUUUAGGGUACGGAUACAGUAUAUCAAUUAUUCAAACCCGAUCUAGUCCGCGACACUUUUAUUUUUAAUAGGCUAAUUUGCAUAAAAAAUUUAUUAGUUUUGAGCUUUUGCAAAUGUAGGCCGUCUUUUUGAAUUUUGCUAAUUCGGGCCGGAUUAUCAGAAAACUCAUCAAAAUACCAUUACUUUCUAUUCUCCCUUCUCUUUUUAUUUUCUCUCCGAAGAGGA
This 924-nucleotide long non-coding RNA is filed under the name Ananas comosus (pineapple). Its description in RNAcentral is "long non-coding RNA (ACOM_LNC033816)". The record is from RNAcentral. Lineage: Eukaryota; Viridiplantae; Streptophyta; Magnoliopsida; Poales; Bromeliaceae.